This 649-nucleotide ribosomal RNA is filed under the name uncultured Flavobacteriales bacterium. Its description in RNAcentral is "bacterial SSU rRNA". It matches the Rfam family "Bacterial small subunit ribosomal RNA", at positions 79 to 726 of the family's 1533-position model. The record is from RNAcentral. Lineage: Bacteria; Pseudomonadati; Bacteroidota; Flavobacteriia; Flavobacteriales.
UUUCGGGUAACUGAGACCGGCGUACGGGUGCGUAACGCGUAUACAAUCUGCCUUUCACUGGGGGGUAGCCCGAAGAAAUUUGGAUUAAUACCCCAUAGUAUAGUAGUGUGGCAUCACACAACUAUUAAAGCUUAGGUGGUGAAAGAUGAGUAUGCGUUCUAUUAGCUAGUUGGAGAGGUAACGGCUCCCCAAGGCGAUGAUAGAUAGGGGUUCUGAGAGGGAUGUCCCCCACACUGGUACUGAGAUACGGACCAGACUCCUACGGGAGGCAGCAGUGAGGAAUAUUGGACAAUGGUCGGAAGACUGAUCCAGCCAUGCCGCGUGCAGGAUGACGGCCUUAUGGGUUGUAAACUGCUUUUGUAAGGGAAGAAUAAGGAGUACGUGUACUUUGAUGACGGUACCUUAUGAAUAAGCAUCGGCUAACUCCGUGCCAGCAGCCGCGGUAAUACGGAGGAUGCGAGCGUUAUCCGGAAUCAUUGGGUUUAAAGGGUCUGUAGGCGGGCUGGUAAGUCAGAGGUGAAAGCGCUUAGCUCAACUAAGCAACUGCCUUUGAAACUGUUGGUCUUGAAUGGUUGUGAAGUAGUUGGAAUGUGUAGUGUAGCGGUGAAAUGCUUAGAUAUUACACAGAACACCGAUAGCGAAGGCAUAU